CACACCGCCCGUCACACCAUGGGAGUUUGUUGCACCAGAAGCAGGUAGCUUAACCGCAAGGGGGGCGCUUGCCACGGUGUGGCCGAUGACUGGGGCG
RNAcentral lists this ribosomal RNA (97 nucleotides) under uncultured bacterium. Its description in RNAcentral is "partial 16S ribosomal RNA". It matches the Rfam family "Bacterial small subunit ribosomal RNA", at positions 1386 to 1482 of the family's 1533-position model. The record is from RNAcentral.